AACCCUAGUCGAUUUUUCAGUCACUCCAUCUGAUCUUCCGUGCUGGAAUCCAUAAAUCUGUAUCAUUUAAAUCUGCUAUAUAAGUUCAGGUGUUCGUGAAAGGAUCACCGGUACAGGAAGAAAGAAGCAAUUUUGUCGAUGGCACCACUUAUAAACAGGUUUCCUUUCGUAGCUAAUCAUUUGAAGAGAAUGAUAAGUAAGCUUAAUGCAAAUGACGAAAAACACACAAUAAAGUCAUGGUCUCGUGCAUCUAUGAUUAUACCAGAAAUGGUUGGCCAUCGUAUUGCUAUCCAUAAUGGAAAGCGACACCGUCCUAUUCAAAUCAAAGAUGCUAUGGUUGGACACAAAUUGGGAGAAUUUGCACUUACUAGGGCACGUAAGCCACAAAAGCCACAAAAUGUGAAAAAAGUUGCAAAAAAGGGAAAAUGAUCCGACUCCAAGAUAACUGUGGCAAGAACAUGUUAACUCAAGCCAGUGUGGUGAAGAAUAGGUCAAGAUUUGUAGUUUCUAAGUUCCUCAUCAUUUGAUUUCUGGAUUUACUUUUGCAAGGUGAUCCUAUGGAAACUUGUUAGUUUGUAUUUUGCUUUCCAUUUUUCGAGUAUUUUCUGGAUCAUCACGUGCUGCAAUUCGAAGAUUAUGCGCGUUCGCAGUUUAUUUGUAAUAAUGAAUUUGAUGUUUUUGGUGCAUUGGUUCGAUUUAGCAUCAACCUUGUCUUCUUCCAUUGCCUUUAUACAUGUUCCAUUUUGUU
Molecule: long non-coding RNA, 748 nt
Organism: Cynara cardunculus var. scolymus (artichoke)
Lineage: Eukaryota; Viridiplantae; Streptophyta; Magnoliopsida; Asterales; Asteraceae
Exons: 2
Source: RefSeq, a predicted model, not a curated record